UUAAGUUCAGCGGGUAUCCCUACCUGAUCCGAGGUCAAACUGUGAAGAAGUGACUUCUGGUCGCCGAUCCGCCGGGCCUCGAGUUCGCGUUUCUGCUGCGCUCGAAGCCAACGUACCGGCCGCCAAUGAUUUGAGGCGAGUCCCCGCGGUGAGGCGGGGACAGACACCCAACACCAAGCUGAGCUUGAGGUUUCAAAUGA
This 200-nucleotide unclassified non-coding RNA is filed under the name uncultured Preussia. RNAcentral describes it as "sequence contains ITS2". Lineage: Eukaryota; Fungi; Ascomycota; Dothideomycetes; Pleosporales; Sporormiaceae. The record is from RNAcentral.